Molecule: ribosomal RNA, 665 nt
Filed under: uncultured marine eukaryote
Lineage: Eukaryota
Description: SSU rRNA
Rfam family: Eukaryotic small subunit ribosomal RNA
Source: RNAcentral
CGGUUAAAAAGCUCGUAGUUGGAUUUCUGUUGAGGACGGCCGGUCCGCACUAUGUGCGUGUAUCUGGUUCGGCCUCGGCAUCCUCUUGAGGAACGUUUCUGCGCUUGAUUGCGUGGAGCGGUAUUCAAGACCUUUACUUUGAGGAAAUUAGAGUGUUCACGGCAGGCAAGCGCCUUGAAUACAUUAGCAUGGAAUAAUAAUAUAGGAUCCUGGUUCUAUUUGUUGGUUUCUAGGGCUAAGGUAAUGAUUAAUAGGGAUAAUUGGGGGCAUUUGUAUUAACGCGUCAGAGGUGGAAUUCUUGGAUUGCGUUACGACAAACUACUGCGAAAGCGUUUGCCAAGGAUGUUUUCAUUGAUCAAGAACGAAAGUAUGGGGAUCGAAGAUGAUUAGAUACCGUCGUAGUCUAUACCAUAAACUAUGCCGACUAGGGAUUGGAGGUCGUUCUUUUUAUGACUCCUUCAGCACCUUAUGAGAAAUCAAAGUCUUUGGGUUCCGGGGGGAGUAUAGUCGCAAGGCUGAAACUUAAAGGAAUUGACGGAAGGGCACCACCAGGAGUGGAGCCUGCGGCUUAAUUUGACUCAACACGGGGAAACUCACCAGGUCCAGACAUAGUAAGGAUUGACAGAUUGAUAGCUCUUUCUUGAUUCUAUGGGUGGUGGUGCAUG